GGUUUUCAAGGCACCUUUAUCUCCUGGAGUGCCGAUCCAGUGGGACCAGCAUGCCAAUGCGACGUGGGAGAAAGGAACAGCUCCUGGCAAUCUGGAAACGGAACAAACAGAGCAAGCUUGUUUUGUUCAGGGACAUUUGACUUCCCUCCUUGGCUCCGUCUCCCGGGAACCAGGGCCAAGAUAAACACGUUGUAUCUGAAAGAACCCAAACACGCUGUAUUUGAAAACACCCAUGUUAAUGGAUCAUGGAAACCCAAACAACAAAUUAAAGACGACAAGAGGAUUUGA
Long non-coding RNA from Malaclemys terrapin pileata, 288 nucleotides. RefSeq lists it as uncharacterized. The transcript has 2 exons. The record is from RefSeq and is a predicted model, not a curated record. NCBI's taxonomy places the organism in Eukaryota, Metazoa, Chordata, Testudines, Emydidae.